UUUCCCUAUAAAAGAUGUGAUCACUUCCGGAAUAAACGGGGGCUUGAUCGGAUUCUCUCUCAACUUGCUUCCAUCUCUCUUUGUCUGCGCUAUGUCUUUAAUCCCCGUUCCCCCUCCAGGUACACCCCACGGAUUGAUUCAUGGGCCAGAUCAAGUGGCGCCCAGCGUGUGGGCUCCUGGCACGGGGGAGUCAACGAGGGAGCUGUUUGAGAAAGCCGGCUUAAAGUAAAAGCGAAUUGAACCAGAGACCGCGGCAAGAACUGAGCAAACUAAAUCGAAGACUAAAGCUAAAAGCAAAAGGACAUUAAAUCAAGUACCGAGGCCUGUGCAGAUGACUACCCGACGUGCUCGCCCGAGUCACAGUGACACAACUCCCCAGAGCCCUAGGCUGCCUACUCAGCCUUCUCCUUGAGCUGUACCACACCCAUGGUGGAUUUAGACCCCCGCCAAACAGACUACAACUGCUGACAGCCAUGCACACAACCCCCUGUGACUGCGGAGGAGGCUUUUCUUGGUCUGGAGGAACAUAAACCAGCCAAAUAGAUUGCGUCCGGUGUUAUGCGAGGCAAGCUCCAAGAAAUAAAAGAAUGACUUCAACAUCGACAACAACAAACAGCUGCCAACCCCUUUUCCUCGAUGUGUGUGGCGGGGUGGGGGGAGGUUUUCCCUUACCUAGCGCCCCUUUUGGAUCCCCUAGCUGCCCUGUUGCUUCUCCUUUCUGUGAGUCCUUGUAUUUUUCAGAGGAUUAUGAUGCUCAUUAAUAACCAGAUAGAUGCGUUUAUGGCAAAACGCAUUCAGGUUCACUAUCAUCAGUUGGAGAUGGCAGAUCAACAAACCUACUGGGAAGGAAUUCCCAUAAAUGGCCCAUAUGAUGAUGUGGCCUAACUGUCCUGGGGCAAUGGACAGGCAGUCAGAGACGGGCAACUAGGACAUGCAUGUUAACUCCAUCAGCCACCUAAGACAGGCACAGGACCAACUGCUGUCCCACAAGCCCAUGACGGGUAAGGCCUGGUUGGGUUCAUGUAAUGAGGUCCUUGACCUAAGACAGACGCUGUCCUCACAGGGCCUGCCAUACUCCUGAUUAAAUAAAAUAGAAAGGGAGGAGAUGUAGGGAGCCGCGCGACAGCCCCAUUGCUGCCUCCCUGCCUCUCUCUCUCCUAUGGGCAUAAUGCGUUUGCCUACAUUAACCACAAUCCUCUCCUGCUUACGUCACAUACCCGGAUGUGACGAUGACCCUGUUGUAGUCAUCCCCAUAGCCUCUUCCUGUCCCACCAGCCCGCCCUUUCCCUAUAAAAGAUAUAAUCACUUCCAGAAUAAACGGGGGCUUGAUCAGA
Cavia porcellus (domestic guinea pig) is the source of this 1334-nucleotide long non-coding RNA. RefSeq lists it as uncharacterized. NCBI's taxonomy places the organism in Eukaryota, Metazoa, Chordata, Mammalia, Rodentia, Caviidae. The transcript is spliced from 2 exons. The record is from RefSeq and is a predicted model, not a curated record.